GACGGUAGCCAUAUCACCCUGUAGCCCAAGCCUGGUUGCCCACUGAAGCUAAGCAGGGCUGAGCCUCGUCAGUACCUGGAUGGGAGACCUCCUGGGAAAACUAGGUUGCUGCUGGAA
Molecule: ribosomal RNA, 117 nt
Filed under: Sinocyclocheilus grahami
Lineage: Eukaryota; Metazoa; Chordata; Actinopteri; Cypriniformes; Cyprinidae
Source: RNAcentral